Molecule: ribosomal RNA, 448 nt
Filed under: uncultured bacterium
Lineage: Bacteria
Description: bacterial SSU rRNA
Rfam family: Bacterial small subunit ribosomal RNA
Source: RNAcentral
UCGAGAAUUUUUCUCAAUGGGGGAAACCCUGAAGGAGCGACGCCGCGUGGAGGAUGAAGGUCUUCGGAUUGUAAACUCCUGUCAUUUGGGAACAAUGCGUGACGGUUAACUGCCGUCACGUUGAUAGUACCAGAAGAGGAAGAGACGGCUAACUCUGUGCCAGCAGCCGCGGUAAUACAGAGGUCUCAAGCGUUGUUCGGAUUCAUUGGGCGUAAAGGGUGCGUAGGCGGCGCGGUAAGUCGGGUGUGAAAUCUCGGGGCUUAACUCCGAAACUGCAUUCGAUACUGCCGUGCUUGAGGACUGGAGAGGAGACUGGAAUUUACGGUGUAGCAGUGAAAUGCGUAGAUAUCGUAAGGAAGACCAGUGGCGAAGGCGGGUCUCUAGACAGUUCCUGACGCUGAAGUACGAAGGCCAGGGGAGCAAACGGGAUUAGAUACCCCCGUAGUCC